UGGCGGCUGCUUACCUGCAGUCGACGGCAGCACGGGGGUAACCCUGGUGGCGAGUGGCGAACGGGUGAGUAAUACAUCGGAACGUGCCCUGUAGUGGGGGAUAACUAGUCGAAAGAUUAGCUAAUACCGCAUACGACCUGAGGGUGAAAGCGGGGGACCGCAAGGCCUCGCGCUACAGGAGCGGCCGAUGUCUGAUUAGCUAGUUGGUGGGGUAAAAGCCUACCAAGGCGACGAUCAGUAGCUGGUCUGAGAGGACGAUCAGCCACACUGGGACUGAGACACGGCCCAGACUCCUACGGGAGGCAGCAGUGGGGAAUUUUGGACAAUGGGGGCAACCCUGAUCCAGCAAUGCCGCGUGUGUGAAGAAGGCCUUCGGGUUGUAAAGCACUUUUGUCCGGAAAGAAAUGGCUCUGGUUAAUACCUGGGGUCGAUGACGGUACCGGAAGAAUAAGCACCGGCUAACUACGUGCCAGCAGCCGCGGUAAUACGUAGGGUGCGAGCGUUAAUCGGAAUUACUGGGCGUAAAGCGUGCGCAGGCGGUUUUGUAAGACAGGCGUGAAAUCCCCGAGCUCAACUUGGGAAUGGCGCUUGUGACUGCAAGGCUAGAGUAUGUCAGAGGGGGGUAGAAUUCCACGUGUAGCAGUGAAAUGCGUAGAGAUGUGGAGGAAUACCGAUGGCGAAGGCAGCCCCCUGGGACGUCACUGACGCUCAUGCACGAAAGCGUGGGGAGCAAACAGGAUUAGAUACCCUGGUAGUCCACGCCCUAAACGAUGUCAACUAGUUGUUGGGGAUUCAUUUCUUCAGUAACGUAGCUAACGCGUGAAGUUGACCGCCUGGGGAGUACGGUCGCAAGAUUAAAACUCAAAGGAAUUGACGGGGACCCGCACAAGCGGUGGAUGAUGUGGAUUAAUUCGAUGCAACGCGAAAAACCUUACCUACCCUUGACAUGCCACUAACGAAGCAGAGAUGCAUUAGGUGCCCGAAAGGGAAAGUGGAACCAGGUGCUGCAUGGCUG
Molecule: ribosomal RNA, 1015 nt
Filed under: Cupriavidus sp.
Lineage: Bacteria; Pseudomonadati; Pseudomonadota; Betaproteobacteria; Burkholderiales; Burkholderiaceae
Description: bacterial SSU rRNA
Rfam family: Bacterial small subunit ribosomal RNA
Source: RNAcentral